GACGAACGCUGGCGGCGUGCCUAAUACAUGCAAGUAGAACGCACAGUUUAUACCGUAGCUUGCUACACCAUAGACUGUGAGUUGCGAACGGGUGAGUAACGCGUAGGUAACCUGCCUGGUAGCGGGGGAUAACUAUUGGAAACGAUAGCUAAUACCGCAUAAUAUUAAUUAUUGCAUGAUAAUUAAUUGAAAGGUGCAAUUGCACCACUACCAGAUGGACCUGCGUUGUAUUAGCUAGUAGGUGAGGUAACGGCUCACCUAGGCGACGAUACAUAGCCGACCUGAGAGGGUGAUCGGCCAAACUGGGACUGAGACACGGCCCAGACUCCUACGGGAGGCAGCAGGAGGGAAUCUUCGGCAAUAGACGAAAGUCUGACCGAGCAACGCCGCGUGAGUGAAGAAGGUUUUCGGAUCGUAAAGCUCUGUUGUAAGAGAAGAACGGGUGUGAGAGUGGAAAGUUCACACUGUGACGGUAUCUUACCAGAAAGGGACGGCUAACUACGUG
RNAcentral lists this ribosomal RNA (505 nucleotides) under uncultured bacterium. RNAcentral describes it as "partial 16S ribosomal RNA". It matches the Rfam family "Bacterial small subunit ribosomal RNA", at positions 28 to 507 of the family's 1533-position model. The record is from RNAcentral.